UCGGGAAGGGAUAAACGCUGAAGGCAUCUAAGCGUGAAGCCCCCCUCAAGAUGAGAUAUCCCAGUGAAAACAUAAGACCCCUUGAAGACGACGAGGUUGAUAGGGCAGGGGUGGAAGUGCAGCAAUGCACGGAGCUGGCUGUCACUAAUAGGUCGAAAGCUUGACCAG
RNAcentral lists this non-coding RNA (168 nucleotides) under Marvinbryantia formatexigens DSM 14469. Its description in RNAcentral is "Bacterial large subunit ribosomal RNA". It matches the Rfam family "Bacterial large subunit ribosomal RNA", at positions 2754 to 2925 of the family's 2925-position model. Lineage: Bacteria; Bacillati; Bacillota; Clostridia; Lachnospirales; Lachnospiraceae. The record is from Rfam by way of RNAcentral.